Molecule: small RNA, 2753 nt
Filed under: Pan troglodytes (chimpanzee)
Lineage: Eukaryota; Metazoa; Chordata; Mammalia; Primates; Hominidae
Description: processed transcript
Source: RNAcentral
UGUGUGUGUGUGUGUGUUUGAGAGAGAGAGAGAGAGACAGAAGAUAGAAAGGCGGAGAGGCCUGUAAUGACGUGAGAGCUCCCGCCUGAACCACAUGAUUUGAGUGGGGCCUGGAUGGGGAGAAGAGCAUUUCCCGAUAUGGAGAGAUGCUGGACAAAAGGAAAAAUAAAGUCCGCUAAAGAGGGGGCCAUGUUCUGCAACGAUUUAAAGGAAAAGUAUGAGAAAAGGAUCAUUAUUAAAGGGGUUGAUGCUGAGACCAUGCACACUCUGCUGGACUACACGUACACCAGCAAGGCGCUGAUCACCAAGCAGAAUGUCCAGCGGGUCCUGGAGGCUGCUAACCUCUUCCAGCUGGAUGUAAGGACUUCUCAAAAACUGCUCAAGAAGCCAGGAGCGGUGGCUCACGCCUGUAAUCCCAGCACUUUGGGAGGCUGAGGCAGGCGGAUCACUGGGUCAGGAGAUCGAGACCAUCCUGGCCAACAUGGUGAAACCCCGUCUCUACUAAAAAUAGAAAAAUUAGCUGGGCGUGGUGGCGUGCGCCUGUAGUCCCAGCUACUCAGAAGGGAGUCGAUUGAACCUAGGAGGCGGAAGUUACAGUGAGCUGAGAUCGCACCACUGCACUCCAGCCUGGUGACAGAGUGAGACUCCAUCUCAAAACAAAAACCAAACAACCAAACAAAAAAAAACUGCUCAAGACUCCAACAGAAAUUACUUGGUCUCCUUCCAAGCAACACUAAGAAGCCCAAUCCUGGCUCUUGGAAAUGGUGUGGGCCAAGAGAGGAGGAAAUAUUUCACAGGCUAAUACUAAUAAUUGCUUUAUUUUAUAGGUGCCUGAUGAAGUGCCAGGCACCUACUAUGAUAUACUAUGUACACACAUGAAUUUCUGUUGUCAUGGACAGAGACUCACAGAUUAUAUCUAUUCAACACCAUAGAAGCCAGUCAAUCUAGGGAAGAAAACCAGCUGGAUUAUUUCCUUGCUAUCAUCUACAUAAAAUCAGCCUGUUGACUAUUUGAUGCACUCCCUCUCACACUAACAUUUGGUCAACCAGUGUUGCUGUGUGGCUACUGUAAGCAUUAAGCAAUCAGGGUUAGUCUACUGGGUCCACAUGAGAGCCACAGUGGCCCUUUUCAGAGCAUUCACCAGGUAGCAACUUUUUUUUUUUUUUGAGACAGAGUCUUGCUCUGUUGCCCAGGCAGAGGUUGCAGUGAGCUGAAAUCGCACCAUUGCACUCCAGCCUGGACGACAGAGUGAGACUCCAUCUCAAAAAAAAAAAAAAAUCAGGUAGGUCUUUUUACCCUCAAUGUAUAGAGGAGGGGCAUAAAAUUCAGCAAUGUUAAGGAAACGCUCAAGUCUUCACAGCUACUAAGAGGGGAGCCUGGAUUUGACUCCUGUGGCCCUGUGCGUAGCCUGUGUGUUCUCCACUGCACAUGUUCUGUCCAUGCCUCAGAGUGACGCCUGAAACAAGCCAUCACCCUGAAGGCAGCUAGGGCCUCCGGGGAGGGUGUCCUCAGGCAGGACUGCCCAGUGCAAUGUUCUGAGAACCAGCAGUGCUCUGUGCGAGUGUGUCGGGGGCAAGACUGGCCCAGCACCCUCUGGGGAACCUUGGAUGCCUGGGGCCACCUGUAGGGGAAAGAAAGAGAUCAGACUGUUACUGUGUGUGUGUGGAAUGAAGAAGACAUAAGAAACUCCAUUUUGUUCUGUACUACGAAAAAUUCUUCUGCCUUGAGAUGCUGUUAAUCUGUAACCCCAGCCCCAACCCUGUGCCCGCAGCAACAUGUGCUGUGUUGACUCAAGGUUUAAUGGAUUUAGGGCUGUGCAGGAGGUGCUUUGUUAAAAAUGUGUUUGCAGGCAGUAUGCUUGGUAAAAGUCAUCGCCAUUCUCCAGUCUCGAGAGUACCCAGGGACAGAAUGCACUGCGGAAGGUCACAGGGACCUCUGCCCAAGAAAGCCUGGGUAUUGUCCAAGGUUUCUCCCCACUGAGACAGCCUGAGAUAUGGCCUCAUGGGAAGGGAAAGACCUGACCGUCCCCCAGCCCGACACCCGCAAAGGGUCUGUGCUGAGGAGGGUUAAUGAAAGAGGAAGGCCUCUUUGCAGUUGAGAUAAGAGGAAGGCAUCUGUCUUCUGCUCGUCCCUGGGAAUGGAAUGUCUCGGUGUAAAACCCGAUCGCACAUUCUAUUUACUGAGAUAGGAGAAAACCGCCUUAUGGCUGGAGGUGAGACAUGCUGGUGGCAAUAUUGCUCUUUACUACACUGAGAUGUUUGUGUAAACUCAAACAUAAAUCUGGCCUACGUGACAUCAAGGCACAGCACCUUUCCUUAAACUUAUUUAUGACACAGAGACCUUUGCUCACACGUUUUCCUGCUGACCCUCUCCCCACCAUUACCCUAUAGUCCUGCCACAUCCCCCUCACUGAGAUAGUAAAGAUAGUGAUCAAUAAUUACUAAGGAAACUCAGAGACCAGUGUCGGCGCGGGUCCUCCGUAUGCUGAGCGCUGGUCCCCUGGGCCCACUGUUCUCUCUCUAUACUUUGUCUCUGUGUCUUAUUUCUUUUCUCAGUCUCUCAUCCCACCUGAUGAGAAAUACCCACAGGUGUGGAGGAGCUGGCCCCCUUCACCACCAAGCAUCCCCAGAAUGAGUCUGCUGCUAGCCAUUUAACAUCUCUUUUGUCUUUAUAUUUCUCGGUGUUUGAUCUCAAUUGUUUAUGCUUUUAUUUUUAGGUAUAACUUGCAUUUAGUAAAAUGUACACUUCUUAAA